CGCACAUUGCGCCCAUUAGUAUUCUAGUGGGCAUGCCUGUUCGAGCGUCAUUUCAACCCUCAAGCUCUGCUUGGUGUUGGGGAUCGGCGAGUCUUAGGACCAGCCGCCCCCUAAAUCUAGUGGCGGUCUCGCUGUAGCUUCCUCUGCGUAGUAGCACAACUCGCUCUGGAAAGCAGCGCGGCUCAGCCGUUAAACCCCCCAAUUUUUUAAGGUUGACCUCGGAUCAGGUAGGAAUACCCGCUGAACUUAA
Molecule: unclassified non-coding RNA, 250 nt
Filed under: Nectria sp. (in: ascomycete fungi)
Lineage: Eukaryota; Fungi; Ascomycota; Sordariomycetes; Hypocreales; Nectriaceae
Description: Nectria sp. (in: Fungi) partial contains 5.8S ribosomal RNA, internal transcribed spacer 2, and large subunit ribosomal RNA
Source: RNAcentral